RNAcentral lists this ribosomal RNA (742 nucleotides) under uncultured bacterium. Its description in RNAcentral is "bacterial SSU rRNA". It matches the Rfam family "Bacterial small subunit ribosomal RNA", at positions 8 to 796 of the family's 1533-position model. The record is from RNAcentral.
AGAGUUUGAUCCUGGCUCAGAACGAACGCUGGCGGCAGGCUUAACACAUGCAAGUCGAACGCACCCUUCGGGGUGAGUGGCAGACGGGUGAGUAACGCGUGGGAACGUGCCCUUCAGUUCGGAAUAACCCAGGGAAACUUGGGCUAAUACCGGAUACGUCCGAAAGGAGAAAGAUUGAUCGCUGAAGGAUCGGCCCGCGUCUGAUUAGCUGGUUGGUGGGGUAAUGGCCCACCAAGGCGACGAUCAGUAGCUGGUCUGAGAGGAUGAUCAGCCACAUUGGGACUGAGACACGGCCCAAACUCCUACGGGAGGCAGCAGUGGGGAAUAUUGGACAAUGGGCGCAAGCCUGAUCCAGCCAUGCCGCGUGAGUGAUGAAGGCCUUAGGGUUGUAAAGCUCUUUCGGCGGGGACGAUAAUGACGGUACCCGCAGAAGAAGCCCCGGCUAACUUCGUGCCAGCAGCCGCGGUAAUACGAAGGGGGCUAGCGUUGUUCGGAAUCACUGGGCGUAAAGGGCGCGUAGGCGGCUUUGUCGGUCGGGGGUGAAAGCCUGUGGCUCAACCACAGAAUUGCCUUCGAUACUGCAUGGCUUGAGACCGGAAGAGGUUAGUGGAACUGCGAGUGUAGAGGUGAAAUUCGUAGAUAUUCGCAAGAACACCAGUGGCGAAGGCGGCUGACUGGUCCGGUUCUGACGCUGAGGCGCGAAAGCGUGGGGAGCAAACAGGAUUAGAUACCCUAGUAGUCC